GACAGAGGUGCCGAGCGUUAGGCGGAAAUCACUGGGCUUAAAGCGUGUGUAGGCGGGCCGUUAAGUGUCGUUGUGAAAUCCCCCCGGCUCAACCGGGGAAUUGCCGGGCAUACUGGCGGUCUUGAGCAAUCUAGGGGCAGAUGGAACAAGUGGUGGAGCGGUGAAAUGCGUAGAUAUCACUUGGAACGCCGAAGGUGAAAACAGGUUGCUGGGGUUGUGCCGACGCUGGAGACACGAAAGCCAGGGGAGCAAACGGG
This 257-nucleotide ribosomal RNA is filed under the name uncultured bacterium. RNAcentral's name for it is "partial 16S ribosomal RNA". It matches the Rfam family "Bacterial small subunit ribosomal RNA", at positions 524 to 776 of the family's 1533-position model. The record is from RNAcentral.